Molecule: transfer RNA, 69 nt
Filed under: Capra hircus (goat)
Lineage: Eukaryota; Metazoa; Chordata; Mammalia; Artiodactyla; Bovidae
Also listed under: 1 other name
Rfam family: tRNA
About the family: Transfer RNA (tRNA) molecules are approximately 80 nucleotides in length. Their secondary structure includes four short double-helical elements and three loops (D, anti-codon, and T loops). Further hydrogen bonds mediate the characteristic L-shaped molecular structure. tRNAs have two regions of fundamental functional importance: the anti-codon, which is responsible for specific mRNA codon recognition, and the 3' end, to which the tRNAs corresponding amino acid is attached (by aminoacyl-tRNA synthetases). tRNAs cope with the degeneracy of the genetic code in two manners: having more than one tRNA (with a specific anti-codon) for a particular amino acid; and 'wobble' base-pairing, i.e. permitting non-standard base-pairing at the 3rd anti-codon position.
Source: Rfam by way of RNAcentral
CCUGGUGGCUCAGAGGGUAAAGUGUCUGCCUGCAAUGCAGGAGACCCUGGCUCAAGUCCUGGGUCAGGA